UAAUGUCUGGGAAACUGCCUGAUGGAGGGGGAUAACUACUGGAAACGGUAGCUAUACCGCAUAAUGUCGCAAGACCAAAGUGGGGGGACUUCGGGCCUCAUGCCAUCAGAUGUGCCCAGAUGGGAUUAGCUAGUAGGUGGGGUAACGGCUCACCUAGGCGACGAUCCCUAGCUGGUCUGAGAGGAUGACCAGCCACACUGGAACUGAGACACGGUCCAG
Molecule: ribosomal RNA, 219 nt
Filed under: uncultured bacterium
Lineage: Bacteria
Description: partial 16S ribosomal RNA
Rfam family: Bacterial small subunit ribosomal RNA
Source: RNAcentral